Molecule: ribosomal RNA, 2797 nt
Filed under: Escherichia coli
Lineage: Bacteria; Pseudomonadati; Pseudomonadota; Gammaproteobacteria; Enterobacterales; Enterobacteriaceae
Description: bacterial LSU rRNA
Rfam family: Bacterial large subunit ribosomal RNA
Source: RNAcentral
UUAAGCGACUAAGCGUACACGGUGGAUGCCCUGGCAGUCAGAGGCGAUGAAGGACGUGCUAAUCUGCGAUAAGCGUCGGUGAGGUGAUAUGAACCGUUAUAACCGGCGAUUUCCGAAUGGGGAAACCCAGUGUGUUUCGACACACUAUCAUUAACUGAAUCCAUAGGUUAAUGAGGCGAACCGGGGGAACUGAAACAUCUAAGUACCCCGAGGAAAAGAAAUCAACCGAGAUUCCCCCAGUAGCGGCGAGCGAACGGGGAGGAGCCCAGAGCCUGAAUCAGUGUGUGUGUUAGUGGAAGCGUCUGGAAAGGCGUGCGAUACAGGGUGACAGCCCCGUACACAAAAAUGCACAUAUUGUGAGCUCGAUGAGUAGGGCGGGACACGUGGUAUCCUGUCUGAAUAUGGGGGGACCAUCCUCCAAGGCUAAAUACUCCUGACUGACCGAUAGUGAACCAGUACCGUGAGGGAAAGGCGAAAAGAACCCCGGCGAGGGGAGUGAAAAAGAACCUGAAACCGUGUACGUACAAGCAGUGGGAGCCUCUUAAUGGGGUGACUGCGUACCUUUUGUAUAAUGGGUCAGCGACUUAUAUUCUGUAGCAAGGUUAACCGAAUAGGGGAGCCGAAGGGAAACCGAGUCUUAACUGGGCGUUAAGUUGCAGGGUAUAGACCCGAAACCCGGUGAUCUAGCCAUGGGGCAGGUUGAAGGUUGGGUAACACUAACUGGAGGACCGAACCGACUAAUGUUGAAAAAUUAGCGGAUGACUUGUGGCUGGGGGUGAAAGGCCAAUCAAACCGGGAGAUAGCUGGUUCUCCCCGAAAGCUAUUUAGGUAGCGCCUCGUGAAUUCAUCUCCGGGGGUAGAGCACUGUUUCGGCAAGGGGGUCAUCCCGACUUACCAACCCGAUGCAAACUGCGAAUACCGGAGAAUGUUAUCACGGGAGACACACGGCGGGUGCUAACGUCCGUCGUGAAGAGGGAAACAACCCAGACCGCCAGCUAAGGUCCCAAAGUCAUGGUUAAGUGGGAAACGAUGUGGGAAGGCCCAGACAGCCAGGAUGUUGGCUUAGAAGCAGCCAUCAUUUAAAGAAAGCGUAAUAGCUCACUGGUCGAGUCGGCCUGCGCGGAAGAUGUAACGGGGCUAAACCAUGCACCGAAGCUGCGGCAGCGACGCUUAUGCGUUGUUGGGUAGGGGAGCGUUCUGUAAGCCUGUGAAGGUGUACUGUGAGGUAUGCUGGAGGUAUCAGAAGUGCGAAUGCUGACAUAAGUAACGAUAAAGCGGGUGAAAAGCCCGCUCGCCGGAAGACCAAGGGUUCCUGUCCAACGUUAAUCGGGGCAGGGUGAGUCGACCCCUAAGGCGAGGCCGAAAGGCGUAGUCGAUGGGAAACAGGUUAAUAUUCCUGUACUUGGUGUUACUGCGAAGGGGGGACGGAGAAGGCUAUGUUGGCCGGGCGACGGUUGUCCCGGUUUAAGCGUGUAGGCUGGUUUUCCAGGCAAAUCCGGAAAAUCAAGGCUGAGGCGUGAUGACGAGGCACUACGGUGCUGAAGCAACAAAUGCCCUGCUUCCAGGAAAAGCCUCUAAGCAUCAGGUAACAUCAAAUCGUACCCCAAACCGACACAGGUGGUCAGGUAGAGAAUACCAAGGCGCUUGAGAGAACUCGGGUGAAGGAACUAGGCAAAAUGGUGCCGUAACUUCGGGAGAAGGCACGCUGAUAUGUAGGUGAAGCGACUUGCUCGUGGAGCUGAAAUCAGUCGAAGAUACCAGCUGGCUGCAACUGUUUAUUAAAAACACAGCACUGUGCAAACACGAAAGUGGACGUAUACGGUGUGACGCCUGCCCGGUGCCGGAAGGUUAAUUGAUGGGGUUAGCGGUAACGCGAAGCUCUUGAUCGAAGCCCCGGUAAACGGCGGCCGUAACUAUAACGGUCCUAAGGUAGCGAAAUUCCUUGUCGGGUAAGUUCCGACCUGCACGAAUGGCGUAAUGAUGGCCAGGCUGUCUCCACCCGAGACUCAGUGAAAUUGAACUCGCUGUGAAGAUGCAGUGUACCCGCGGCAAGACGGAAAGACCCCGUGAACCUUUACUAUAGCUUGACACUGAACAUUGAGCCUUGAUGUGUAGGAUAGGUGGGAGGCUUUGAAGUGUGGACGCCAGUCUGCAUGGAGCCGACCUUGAAAUACCACCCUUUAAUGUUUGAUGUUCUAACGUUGGCCCCUGAUCGGGGUUGCGGACAGUGUCUGGUGGGUAGUUUGACUGGGGCGGUCUCCUCCUAAAGAGUAACGGAGGAGCACGAAGGUUGGCUAAUCCUGGUCGGACAUCAGGAGGUUAGUGCAAUGGCAUAAGCCAGCUUGACUGCGAGCGUGACGGCGCGAGCAGGUGCGAAAGCAGGUCAUAGUGAUCCGGUGGUUCUGAAUGGAAGGGCCAUCGCUCAACGGAUAAAAGGUACUCCGGGGAUAACAGGCUGAUACCGCCCAAGAGUUCAUAUCGACGGCGGUGUUUGGCACCUCGAUGUCGGCUCAUCACAUCCUGGGGCUGAAGUAGGUCCCAAGGGUAUGGCUGUUCGCCAUUUAAAGUGGUACGCGAGCUGGGUUUAGAACGUCGUGAGACAGUUCGGUCCCUAUCUGCCGUGGGCGCUGGAGAACUGAGGGGGGCUGCUCCUAGUACGAGAGGACCGGAGUGGACGCAUCACUGGUGUUCGGGUUGUCAUGCCAAUGGCACUGCCCGGUAGCUAAAUGCGGAAGAGAUAAGUGCUGAAAGCAUCUAAGCACGAAACUUGCCCCGAGAUGAGUUCUCCCUGAGACUU